AGUGAACGCUGGCGGUAGGCCUAACACAUGCAAGUCGAACGGCAGCACAGUAAGAGCUUGCUCUUACGGGUGGCGAGUGGCGGACGGGUGAGGAAUACAUCGGAAUCUACUUUUUCGUGGGGGAUAACGUAGGGAAACUUACGCUAAUACCGCAUACGACCUACGGGUGAAAGCAGGGGAUCUUCGGACCUUUCGCGAUUGAAUGAGCCGAUGUCGGAUUAGCUAGUUGGCGGGGUAAAGGCCCACCAAGGCGACGAUCCGUAGCUGGUCUGAGAGGAUGAUUAGCCACACUGGAACUGAGACACGGUCCAGACUCCUACGGGAGGCAGCAGUGGGGAAUAUUGGACAAUGGGCGCAAGCCUGAUCCAGCCAUACCGCGUGGGUGAAGAAGGCCUUCGGGUUGUAAAGCCCUUUUGUUGGGAAAGAAAAGCAGCAGGUUAAUACCCCGCUGUUCUGACGGUACCCAAAGAAUAAGCACCGGCUAACUUCGUG
This 492-nucleotide ribosomal RNA is filed under the name uncultured bacterium. RNAcentral describes it as "partial 16S ribosomal RNA". It matches the Rfam family "Bacterial small subunit ribosomal RNA", at positions 29 to 507 of the family's 1533-position model. The record is from RNAcentral.